AUGCACGCUGGCGGCGUGCCUCAUCCCUGCCAGUCGCGCGAACAGACGAGGAGCUUGCUCCUCUGACGUUAGCGGCGGACGGGUGAGUAACACGUGGAUAACCUACCUAUAAGACUGGGAUAACUUCGGGAAACCGGAGCUAAUACCGGAUAAUAUAUUUAACCGCAUGGUUCAAUAGUGAAAGACGGUUUUGCUGUCACUUAUAGAUGGAUCCGCGCCGCAUUAGCUAGUUGGUAAGGUAACGGCUUACCAAGGCAACGAUGCGUAGCCGACCUGAGAGGGUGAUCGGCCACACUGGAACUGAGACACGGUCCAGACUCCUACGGGAGGCAGCAGUAGGGAAUCUUCCGCAAUGGGCGAAAGCCUGACGGAGCAACGCCGCGUGAGUGAUGAAGGUCUUCGGAUCGUAAAACUCUGUUAUUAGGGAAGAACAAAUGUGUAAGUAACUAUGCACGUCUUGACGGUACCUAAUCAGAAAGCCACGGCUAACUACGUG
RNAcentral lists this ribosomal RNA (496 nucleotides) under uncultured bacterium. Its description in RNAcentral is "partial 16S ribosomal RNA". It matches the Rfam family "Bacterial small subunit ribosomal RNA", at positions 29 to 507 of the family's 1533-position model. The record is from RNAcentral.